AGUUAUCUGAAUGCCAAAGGGUCAAAUGGAAAAAAUGAUCAGAAAAGUCAUUUCUAUUCAUUUUUUCAAAUAUAUGAUACUGUACCAAGGACUUUCUAUUUGUCAUUCUACUAUGUAUAUAUAUAUAUAUACAUAUAUAUAUACAUAUAUAUAUAUAUAUAAUAUAUAUAUAUAUAUAUAUAUAUA
This is a long non-coding RNA of Octopus sinensis (East Asian common octopus), 186 nucleotides long. RefSeq lists it as uncharacterized. The record is from RefSeq and is a predicted model, not a curated record. The transcript has 3 exons. NCBI's taxonomy places the organism in Eukaryota, Metazoa, Mollusca, Cephalopoda, Octopoda, Octopodidae.